RNAcentral lists this ribosomal RNA (253 nucleotides) under uncultured bacterium. RNAcentral's name for it is "partial 16S ribosomal RNA". It matches the Rfam family "Bacterial small subunit ribosomal RNA", at positions 524 to 776 of the family's 1533-position model. The record is from RNAcentral.
UACAGAGGGUGCGAGCGUUAAUCGGAAUUACUGGGCGUAAAGGGCGCGUAGGCGGCACGGCAAGUCGGGAGUGAAAGCCCGGGGCUCAACCCCGGAACGUCUUUCGAAACUGCCGAGCUAGAGUGCGGAAGGGGCAACUGGAAUUCCCAGUGUAGCGGUGAAAUGCGUAGAUAUUGGGAAGAACACCUGAGGCGAAGGCGGGUUGCUGGGCCGACACUGACGCUGAGGCGCGAAAGCCAGGGGAGCGAACGGG